RNAcentral lists this ribosomal RNA (467 nucleotides) under uncultured bacterium. RNAcentral's name for it is "bacterial SSU rRNA". It matches the Rfam family "Bacterial small subunit ribosomal RNA", at positions 330 to 793 of the family's 1533-position model. The record is from RNAcentral.
UCCAGACUCCUACGGGAGGCAGCAGUGAGGAAUAUUGGUCAAUGGGCGGGAGCCUGAACCAGCCAAGUCGCGUGAGGGAAGGCGGUCCUAUGGAUUGUAAACCUCUUUAGGCGGGGAGCAAUGCCGGGCACGCGUGCCCGGAGGGAGAGUACCCGCAGAAUAAGCAUCGGCUAACUCCGUGCCAGCAGCCGCGGUAAUACGGAGGAUGCGAGCGUUAUCCGGAUUUAUUGGGUUUAAAGGGUGCGUAGGUUGUUUUAUAAGUUAGCGGUGAAAUACCGAUGCUCAACAUCGGGGCUGCCGCUAAUACUGUAGGACUAGAGAUCGGAUGCAGCAGGCGGAAUGUGUAGUGUAGCGGUGAAAUGCGUAGAUAUUACACAGAACACCGAUUGCGAAGGCAGCUUGCUAGGCCGGAUCUGACACUGAUGCACGAAAGCGUGGGGAUCGAACAGGAUUAGAUACCCGAGUAC